UGGGGAAUUUUGGACAAUGGGCGAAANCCUGAUCCAGCAAUGCCGCGUGAGUGAAGAAGGCCUUCGGGUUGUAAAGCUCUUUUGUCAGGGAAGAAACGGUGAGAGCUAAUAUCUUUUGCUAAUGACGGUACCUGAAGAAUAAGCACCGGCUAACUACGUGCCAGCAGCCGCGGUAAUGCGUAGGGUGCAAGCGUUAAUCGGAAUUACUGGGCGUAAAGCGUGCGCAGGCGGUUUUGUAAAGUCUGAUGUGAAAUCCCCGGGCUCAACCUGGGAAUUGCAUUGGAGACUGCAAGGCUAGAAUCUGGCGGAGGGGGGUAGAAUUCCCACGUGUAGCAGUGAAAUGCGUAGAUAUGUGGAGGAACACCGAUGGCGAAGGCAGCCCCCUGGGUCAAGAUUGACGCUCAUGCACGAAAGCGUGGGGAGCAAACAGGAUUAGAUACCCUGGUAGUCCACGCCCUAAACGAUGUCUACUAGUUGUCGGGUCUUAAUUGACUUGGUAACGCAGCUAACGCGUGAAGUAGACCGCCUGGGGAGUACGGUCGCAAGAUUAAAACUUAAANGAUUGNCGGGGUCAUAGCUGUUUCCUG
This 587-nucleotide ribosomal RNA is filed under the name uncultured bacterium. RNAcentral describes it as "partial 16S ribosomal RNA". It matches the Rfam family "Bacterial small subunit ribosomal RNA", at positions 355 to 1376 of the family's 1533-position model. The record is from RNAcentral.